Zalaria obscura is the source of this 98-nucleotide non-coding RNA. Lineage: Eukaryota; Fungi; Ascomycota; Dothideomycetes; Dothideales; Zalariaceae. The record is from the annotation of a GenBank genome assembly.
GGGCGUAUGGUUUAAUGGUAUAACAUCUUCUUAGCAUUCGCUGAUAUAGCGAGUUCCUGAGUUGGAGAAGGUCCCCGGUUCGAUUCCGGGUUCGUCCA